This is a long non-coding RNA of Apis dorsata (giant honeybee), 401 nucleotides long. RefSeq lists it as uncharacterized. The transcript is spliced from 3 exons. Lineage: Eukaryota; Metazoa; Arthropoda; Insecta; Hymenoptera; Apidae. The record is from RefSeq and is a predicted model, not a curated record.
AUGUAGUAGCGAAACGAAUCAGCGCGCAUCAUAGUGCGCAUGAGUCUACAGUUGAAAAGCGUGGUGACAGGUCGUGUUUCGCCGGCAGAGAUUAUCGUUUGAUUGAAGCUUCGAUGGCGGGAUGGCUUUGAAAGUUUUUGCACACAUCAUCAAAAUUAAGAAAUAAUCCAACAAUUUUCAUACAAAUAUAAUAAAUAGCUGAUUGCUGUAAUUAGUUUAGGCGGGAAAAAGGAUUUCAAUAUGGACGCCAUGAUGAUAGUUUACGAAAGAAAAAUAAAUUCUCUCAAAGAAAGGCAUAUGUAAGUAGUUUUAUGAUUUCUUUUUAUUAAAUUAUAAGUUAUAUAAUUUUCAUUUAUAAUUUGCUAUGUAUUACUUGUAAAUUAUCUUAAAAAUUUUUUGAA